GAUGAACGCUAGCGGCAGGCUUAACACAUGCAAGUCGAGGGGUAACAGGGAGUGCUUGCACUCUGCUGACGACCGGCGCACGGGUGCGUAACGCGUAUGCAACCUACCUUUUACAGGGGGAUAGUCAAGAGAAAUUUUGAAUAAUACCCCAUACGAUCCUGAUAUCACCUGAUAUUUGGAAGAAAACUUCGGUGGUAAAAGAUGGGCAUGCGUCCUAUUAGUUAGUUGGUGAGGUAACGGCUCACCAAGACAGCGAUAGGUAGGGGUCCUGAGAGGGAGAUCCCCCACACUGGUACUGAGACACGGACCAGACUCCUACGGGAGGCAGCAGUGAGGAAUAUUGGACAAUGGAGGCAACUCUGAUCCAGCCAUGCCGCGUGCAGGAAGACUGCCCUAUGGGUUGUAAACUGCUUUUAUACAGGAAGAAACCUACUUACGUGUAAGUAGCUGACGGUACUGUACGAAUAAGGAUCGGCUAACUCCG
This 484-nucleotide ribosomal RNA is filed under the name uncultured Flavobacteriaceae bacterium. RNAcentral describes it as "bacterial SSU rRNA". It matches the Rfam family "Bacterial small subunit ribosomal RNA", at positions 28 to 505 of the family's 1533-position model. Lineage: Bacteria; Pseudomonadati; Bacteroidota; Flavobacteriia; Flavobacteriales; Flavobacteriaceae. The record is from RNAcentral.